UAGCCAAGGAUGGACUUGCCUA
This 22-nucleotide microRNA is filed under the name Glycine max (soybean). The record is from RNAcentral. Lineage: Eukaryota; Viridiplantae; Streptophyta; Magnoliopsida; Fabales; Fabaceae.